AGAUCAAGGACAACACAGAAGCCUUGGGAGAAUUGGAGACUUGUUCCAGGAGAAAGAAUCUGAACUCUUAAAAUCCUUAAAGCCUUUGAGAUUUGCCACAGACCUUAGGACAAUUGGCUCCUCAAACCAGGACAAUGGGAAGGAAAUGAAGGGAGCCCAUGUGGUGAGAGCUCCUUCCAUAUGCUGAAGAGAUGCCAACUCCUCAGAAAAUAACAAGAAGCAGACAGCAAAGAUUCUUGAUCCUAUAAACACUGAGGUCCACGUAAAAGGAAUGCGGGGCGGCAGGAGCCAAGCUGAUGCUGAUGCUGAUCUAU
Long non-coding RNA from Mus caroli (Ryukyu mouse), 314 nucleotides. RefSeq lists it as uncharacterized. NCBI's taxonomy places the organism in Eukaryota, Metazoa, Chordata, Mammalia, Rodentia, Muridae. The record is from RefSeq and is a predicted model, not a curated record.